This 406-nucleotide ribosomal RNA is filed under the name uncultured bacterium. RNAcentral describes it as "partial 16S ribosomal RNA". It matches the Rfam family "Bacterial small subunit ribosomal RNA", at positions 30 to 526 of the family's 1533-position model. The record is from RNAcentral.
AUUGAACGCUGGCGGCAGGCCUAACACAUGCAAGUCGAACGAGUGGCGGACGGGUGAGUAAUGUCUGGGAAACUGCCCGUUGGAGGGGGAUAACUACUGGAAACGGUAGCUAAUACCGCAUACUAUCGGAUGUGCCCAGAUGGGAUAUGCUAGUAGGGGGGGUAACGGCUCACCUAGGCGACGAUCCCUAGCUGGUGUGAGAGGAUGACCAGCCGCACGGGAACUGUGACACGGGCCAGACUCCUACGGAUGGCAGCAGUGGGGAAUAUGGCACAAGGGGCGGAAGCCUUGUUAAGCCUUGCCGCGUGGAUGAAGAAGGCCUUCGGGUUUUAAAGUACUUUCAGCGAGGCGGGGUUACACGCAGAAGAAGCGCCGGCUAACUCCGUGCCAGCCGCCGCGGUAAUUC